GCGCCGGCUGCGGGUAGAUAUGGAGCUGCUAUUGGGGACGCCGCCGUAGUGGGCGGGGUUUACCACAUAUCACGAGAUAGUUUCCCGGCUGCAAGAUAUUGGAGCCCUGUUUACUACUGGCAGUAUGGGCAAAAAGAUGUCUUCCCGAAACCGCGAGGUAUGCAGUACAGGGCAGAGGAGACGCUGGUUACCAGGGCAAGAAAAUAAAGCUGAGCAUGUGCUAGAGCAGAGAAAAAAUCCCAUACUCAAUGUUGAGUUUCAAGGCCGGUGGAGGCUCCUACUAUAGCUCAGCAGCAGAAUAAGACAUCAACUUGUCUCUCAUGAUGACUCUGAAAUGUUGAACAUGAUUUCUCCCCCAGUGGAAGGCUUAGAGCAAGCUUCUCCCUUCCUUCUGAAGGGUCUUCGAUUUUUAUUUUCAAAGACACCCUAAACACCACCAGUCAGAACAUGCAGAGAGUGCUCCAGGUGAAUACUAGAUACUACCACCAUUAUCUGAGUGCAACUUACUUUUCACUGCACCAGCCUAAGGAUUGUGGGAAUUCUCGUGAAAACACUCCAGCCAACUGUGACCCAGACUGUGACCAAAUUCGGAAAGCCUUAUUCCCCCCAGUUCCCGUGUUUAUUUUAUCUGUAUCCCCUAUGGCUGCUGUUAUAAUAAGUUGUAUAAUUGUCAGAAAUAGUGUUUCUCUAUAGAAAUAAAGAAGCUUAUCCUGAA
Molecule: long non-coding RNA, 715 nt
Organism: Hyla sarda
Lineage: Eukaryota; Metazoa; Chordata; Amphibia; Anura; Hylidae
Exons: 5
Source: RefSeq, a predicted model, not a curated record